AAUAGUUUUGGUUGUCAGAUGGUUUUGAAACAUCCAUGGCAAAUGGUGCUGGAGUGAAGGGGAAGAGGGGGCAAAGAGUGCGUUACCACCUCUUGGAGAGCUCCAGAGAGAUGGUCAUGGGUGGGCCUCAAGUGGAGGUUUCUUUCACACUUGGGUGACAAUGAGUGCUGAGGAACAAAAGAGGGAUCCAAGAAAAACCAGCGGCACCAACCGUGGCUAGAACAUGUAACCUCCCCCCUGCCAUCUCAAUCUCCGGGCAGAACUGGAUCGCCAUGGCCCCAGUGAGACCAGAUCAAGCCAAUCCAAUUGCCAAGCAGGGAUCAAGUCACCAUGCUGGUGCUGCUCCCAGAAACCACCAGGAGCCAAACCUCCUGAGGUCUUCCCACCACAUCACAUGGUCUGCUGCCUGGGCACAUGAGCGUGUGUGAGAGGCAGAGAAAAGAAAGCAAGGAUUAAGAGAUAAAAACCAUAUGAGCAACCAAAUCUAUUUUGAAGUACUAUGACUUCCUUCCUCAAAGAAGCCCUUUUUUUGGUCCCCUAUGAUCACUCACUGGCCUUUUCACAAGCCUAAACUCUGGUCAAAGGUGAUUUAUUCAUUUUAUUGGCUUAUUUUCAUAACGUUGAGAAAUAUUCAGCCAAGUAACUGCAACUCACUAGACGCAGCCAUAAAAACUAGUCCGUCAGCUGAGUUCUUUUAAAUUUCUGAUUUAUAUAUUUUUUUUGCCUUUGGCAAUAUUUGAUCCUAAAAUAAACUAGUGAUAUCUGGG
Long non-coding RNA from Stegastes partitus (bicolor damselfish), 767 nucleotides. RefSeq lists it as uncharacterized. The transcript is spliced from 4 exons. Lineage: Eukaryota; Metazoa; Chordata; Actinopteri; Pomacentridae. The record is from RefSeq and is a predicted model, not a curated record.